GACGAACGCUGGCGGCGUGCUUAACACAUGCAAGUCGAGCGGUAAGGCCCUUUCGGGGGUACACGAGCGGCGAACGGGUGAGUAACACGUGGGUGACCUGCCCUCAGCUCUGGGAUAAGCCUGGGAAACCCGGUCUAAUACUGGAUAUGACUCCAUGACGCAUGUUGUGGGGUGGAAAGCCUUGUGCGGCUGAGGAUGGGCCCGCGGCCUAUCAGCUUGUUGGUGGGGUGAGGCCUACCAAGGCGACGACGGGUAGCCGGCCUGAGAGGGCGACCGGCCACACUGGGACUGAGACACGGCCCAGACUCCUACGGGAGGCAGCAGUGGGGAAUCUUGCGCAAUGGGCGAAAGCCUGACGCAGCGACGCCGCGUGAGGGAUGACGGCCU
RNAcentral lists this ribosomal RNA (387 nucleotides) under uncultured bacterium. Its description in RNAcentral is "bacterial SSU rRNA". It matches the Rfam family "Bacterial small subunit ribosomal RNA", at positions 28 to 417 of the family's 1533-position model. The record is from RNAcentral.